CAACAACAAUAAUUAUUCAACAAUUACGAUUAAAACAACCUGCUGUACUUGAAAGUCCUUUCUUAAAGGAAGCGGAAAGCUACCACCCUGUAACUCUUGACCACGGAUCUUACCUCUGCGCUCCAGAGCAGCAGGUGCAAGAAUAUCUUAUUGAUAACACUUCUACCAUAAACUGUGGGAAGACUGACUCCUG
Molecule: long non-coding RNA, 193 nt
Organism: Ailuropoda melanoleuca (giant panda)
Lineage: Eukaryota; Metazoa; Chordata; Mammalia; Carnivora; Ursidae
Exons: 3
Source: RefSeq, a predicted model, not a curated record